Molecule: ribosomal RNA, 460 nt
Filed under: uncultured bacterium
Lineage: Bacteria
Description: partial 16S ribosomal RNA
Rfam family: Bacterial small subunit ribosomal RNA
Source: RNAcentral
CCUACGGGAGGCAGCAGUGAGGAAUAUUGGUCAAUGGACGAGAGUCUGAACCAGCCAAGUAGCGUGAAGGAUGACUGCCCUAUGGGUUGUAAACUUCUUUUAUAUGGGAAUAAAAUGUUACACGUGUGGGAUUUUGUAUGUACCAUAUGAAUAAGGAUCGGCUAACUCCGUGCCAGCAGCCGCGGUAAUACGGAGGAUCCGAGCGUUAUCCGGAUUUAUUGGGUUUAAAGGGAGCGUAGGUGGAUUGUUAAGUCAGUUGUGAAAGUUUGCGGCUCAACCGUAAAAUUGCAGUUGAAACUGGCAGUCUUGAGUACAGUAGAGGUGGGCGGAAUUCGUGGUGUAGCGGUGAAAUGCUUAGAUAUCACGAAGAACUCCGAUUGCGAAGGCAGUUCACUGGACUGCAACUGACACUGAGGCUCGAAAGUGUGGGUAUCAAACAGGAUUAGAUACCCCUGUAGUC